RNAcentral lists this ribosomal RNA (253 nucleotides) under uncultured bacterium. Its description in RNAcentral is "partial 16S ribosomal RNA". It matches the Rfam family "Bacterial small subunit ribosomal RNA", at positions 524 to 776 of the family's 1533-position model. The record is from RNAcentral.
GACAGAGGGUGCAAACGUUGUUCGGAAUUACUGGGCGUAAAGCGCGUGUAGGCGGCUCGGUAAGUCGGAUGUGAAAGCCCUGGGCUCAACCUAGGAAGUGCAUUCGAAACUUCCGAGCUGGAGUACUGGAGAGGAAGGCGGAAUUCCCGGUGUAGAGGUGAAAUUCGUAGAUAUCGAGAGGAACACCGGUGGCGAAGGCGGCCUUCUGGACAGUAACUGACGCUGAGACGCGAAAGCGUGGGGAGCGAACAGG